RNAcentral lists this unclassified non-coding RNA (642 nucleotides) under Hevea brasiliensis (rubber tree). The record is from RNAcentral. Lineage: Eukaryota; Viridiplantae; Streptophyta; Magnoliopsida; Malpighiales; Euphorbiaceae.
GAGAACAGUGAAGUGCCUGCAUUAGCCAAGUUAGCAGACUCAAGUAAGCAACACUUAACUUAGUCUAUACCUUUGGAGGAGAUUACUACCCCAACUGUUGAUCAAGAAGAGGCAUUGCAAAUUGAUGUUGUUUCCAUGUGGAUGACCCCAAUUUUUUAUUAUUUGGACAAUAGGGUAUUACCUGACAGUCCUCUUGAAGCAAAAAAGAUAAGUGCAAAAGUCUUCUGGUUACAGUGUCCUCAAUGGAUGGCUUUAUAGAAGGUCCUUUUUGCGACCUUGGUUGAAAUGCAUCACUCCUGAGGAAGGGAUAGUGAUUUUGAUUGAUAUUCAUGAAGGUUUGUGCAGUAGCCAUAAGGGUGUUAGAACCAUCGCCAAAAAAGCUUUUAGGCAAGGAUAUUUCUGGCCUUUGGCAAUAGAUAAUGCCAUGGAAUUAGUGCGAAAAUGCAAAAAAUGCCAAGAAUGUAGCUUUAUUCCCUGAGCUCUGGCAAAAAAGUUAGCGGCUAUUAAGAGUCCAUGGCCAUUUUAUCAGUGGGAAAUUGAUAUCCUGGGUUCAUUUCCUAAAGCUUCAAGAUCUAGAAAAUAUGUUAUUGUGGCCAUUAAUCACUUUACCAAGUGGACCGAGGCAGAAGCUUCACAAUUGAU